RNAcentral lists this ribosomal RNA (499 nucleotides) under uncultured bacterium. RNAcentral describes it as "partial 16S ribosomal RNA". It matches the Rfam family "Bacterial small subunit ribosomal RNA", at positions 28 to 507 of the family's 1533-position model. The record is from RNAcentral.
GACGAACGCUGGCGGCGUGCUUAACACAUGCAAGUCGAACGGGCCCGCUCUCUUUUUUGGGGGUGGGUUGAGUGGCGAACGGGUGAGUAUCACGUGAGUAACCUGCCCCCUGCUCCUGGAUAACUGCUUGAAAGGGCGGCUAAUACGGGGUGUGCCGGCUGGUCCGCAUGGGCCUGGUCGGGAUAGUUUCAUCUUCGGGUGUUUCGGUGGGGGAUGGGCUCGCGGCCUAUCAGCUUGUUGGUGGGGUGAUGGCCCACCAAGGCGGUGACGGGUAGCCGGCCUGAGAGGGUGGGCGGCCACACUGGGACUGAGACACGGCCCAGACUCCUGCGGGAGGCAGCAGUGGGGGGUAUGGCGCAAUGGGCGGAAGCCUGAUGCAGCGACGUCGCGUGAGGGAUGGAGGCCUUCGGGUGGUGAACCUCUUUCUCCGGUGGUGAAGGCCCUGUCCGUUGCGGCGGGGUUGACGGUAGCCGGGGAUGAAGCGCCGGCUAACUACGUG